Molecule: ribosomal RNA, 253 nt
Filed under: uncultured prokaryote
Description: partial 16S ribosomal RNA
Rfam family: Bacterial small subunit ribosomal RNA
Source: RNAcentral
UACAGAGGGUGCAAGCGUUGUUCGGAAUUACUGGGCGUAAAGCGUGCGUAGGCGGUUUUUUAAGUCUGCUGUGAAAUCCCCGGGCUCAACCUGGGAAUGGCAGUGGAUACUGGAAAGCUAGAGUGUGAUAGAGGAUGGUGGAAUUCCCGGUGUAGCGGUGAAAUGCGUAGAGAUCGGGAGGAACAUCAGUGGCGAAGGCGGCCAUCUGGAUCAACACUGACGCUGAGGCACGAAAGCCAGGGGAGCAAACGGG